RNAcentral lists this microRNA precursor (69 nucleotides) under Schistosoma margrebowiei. RNAcentral's name for it is "mir-3492 microRNA precursor family". It matches the Rfam family "mir-3492 microRNA precursor family". Lineage: Eukaryota; Metazoa; Platyhelminthes; Trematoda; Strigeidida; Schistosomatidae. The record is from Rfam by way of RNAcentral.
AGCCUUCUGUAUCCGUGCUGAGAUUUCGUCACACACCAGGCUGAUGAGACUUCCAAGAUAAGAGAAGCG